This 432-nucleotide ribosomal RNA is filed under the name uncultured bacterium. Its description in RNAcentral is "partial 16S ribosomal RNA". It matches the Rfam family "Bacterial small subunit ribosomal RNA", at positions 29 to 506 of the family's 1533-position model. The record is from RNAcentral.
AGCGAACGCUGGCGGCAGGCCUAACACAUGCAAGUCGAACGGACCCUUCGGGGUUAGUGGCGGACGGGUGAGUAACACGUGGGAACGUGCCUUUAGGUUCGGAAUAGCUCCUGGAAACGGGUGGGAAUGCCGAAUGUGCCCUUCGGGGGAAAGAUUUAUCGCCUUUAGAGCGGCCCGCGUCUGAUUAGCUAGUUGGUGAGGUAACGGCUCACCAAGGGGACGAUCAGUAACUGGUCUGAGAGGAGGCCCCGCCACCCUGGGACUGAGACACGGCCCCGACUCCAGCGGGAGGAAGGAGGGGGGAAUCUUGCACACCGGGCGAAAGCUCAACGCCCCCCAGCCGGGUAAAUAGUGAAGGUUUUAGGAUUGUAAAAUUCUUUCCCCGGGGCCGAUAGUAGCGGAACCCGGGGAAGAGGCCCCGGCUAACUUCGC